Molecule: long non-coding RNA, 572 nt
Filed under: Phoenix dactylifera (date palm)
Lineage: Eukaryota; Viridiplantae; Streptophyta; Magnoliopsida; Arecales; Arecaceae
Description: long non-coding RNA (PDAC_LNC013182)
Source: RNAcentral
CACCACUGCCGCCGCCGCCGCCGCCUAGCCGUGUUCAUCGCCGCUCGUCGCAACGAUCUCCGCGUUUAUCUCCGCUACCACUGCCAUCUCCACCACCAGCGCCGCCAUCGCAUGCUUAUCCUCCUCCUCCUCCUCCACUGCAGAAACCCCACACUCCACCGACACCAUCCUCCAAGCCUCCGCCCCCACCCAUCGAACCCAUUUUACCUCCACCAACGCCAAAACGUCACCCCAAGCAUCCGCCCCCGCCGUCGCCGCCGCCGCCAUCCCACAUGCCUCCUCCCCCACCCAUCCACCCCAUUUAUCCUCCACCAACACCAAACCGCCACCCCAAGUAUCCACCCCCGCCGUCGCCGCCAUCCCACAUUCCUCCUCCCCCACCCGUCCGCCGCUCCCACCCUCCAUCACCACCAGCCAACCACUCUAAAUAUCCACUGCCGCCACCGCCCCCCGUACGCAAAUGACCUCCUCCUAGUCAAAAAUCUCCACCGCCGCCGCUGCCACCAGUCCGCACAUCACCACCACCGGCCAUCCACCAUAACAAGUCACCUCCACCUCCUCCCAGUUUCAAC